UGCCCGGUGGUGUAAACGGUAGCACAAGGGAUUUUGGUUCCCUUUGUCCAGGUUCGAAUCCUGGCCGGGCAG
Molecule: transfer RNA, 72 nt
Filed under: Gemmataceae bacterium
Lineage: Bacteria; Pseudomonadati; Planctomycetota; Planctomycetia; Gemmatales; Gemmataceae
Description: tRNA-Gln
Rfam family: tRNA
About the family: Transfer RNA (tRNA) molecules are approximately 80 nucleotides in length. Their secondary structure includes four short double-helical elements and three loops (D, anti-codon, and T loops).
Source: RNAcentral